AUGUUUUCUUAUGGUCUUCCCUGUUCAGUUUUGUUAGCGAACACAUCAAAACUUUGGAGGAAAUCGAUGUGGAGUACAAGGAGUUAGCUUUAGAAUCUAGCAUCGAUUCAACAAUUUGCAUGUCAGAUAUUCAUUCAAAUGUCUAACUGAACCUAUGGAACAAGAAUUGAAAUCUUGCCUUUUUCAUUUUAUCAUCUGAUAUCCAGUUUUCUAAGUUAUAGUAUAUCAUUUUUUCUUUAGAGGAGUUCAUUUCCAAGUUAAAGAAAAAAUUACAGUAGACCCUUUUAUGUUUGGAGGAUACAAGUGUUCAUUUCCAAGUUAAAGAAACGUUGCAUGAGCAUCCCCUGUGUUUGUGGAAAAUGCAAUAUGAACUUUUACAUAUAUUUAAUAUUUGCAUGUCAGGGGCUCAGCAACAAGCAGCAAUCUGCCAAUCUGACAGGUCAUCAGGGGCUCAAGAAUGUCACUUGCCAUUACCGAGAGCAUGGGUGGAGGCCUCCAGGAGAUGCAGUGCUGGCAUGCCCGUGGAGUGGAGGUCGCCGUGGGGACGCAAACGCCAUAUGGAAUGUAGGUUAGCUGUUUGAGGAAAUGCUCGAGGAUCAAUCGGCGAUUGUGCCAACAAGCUUGCAGUUUAUAAUGAUGGAUAUUUGGAUGGUGGCAAAAAAUCUCAUGCUUUCAUUGCUUGCAGAGGAUGUCAAGCACUUGCAUGCUACAAGCAUUUGUCCCUGGUAGCCGUGCUGUCAUCCUGUCACAGUUUGGGUGGUGGUGAUAUGAUGGUAUGCAACCAGGGUAGCCACUAGCCAGCCAUUAUCAAUCCCAAAUACCAUUUCGAGCAGCCAUGCAGCUAGGAGCAAGGUUGCUUCUGCAACAUCAGCUAUGAAGUCAGUGUUUUUGCAAGAGGUUCAACAGCAGGAUAGGUAAGCUUUCUAUUUCUCUGGAAUAAUGUCGUCCUGAUCAUCGUCGUCGAGUCGUUGCUGCGUAUUGAUUACAAAUAGCUUUUUUUAGUCAUGUGGUGUGUUGCUUUGGGUGCCUACCUGCUGCUUGUUUGAUGAAAUGUCUAGGCGAGCAAUGUUACACCGAAAUAGAAGUUGCUAUUGCUUUUACUUGAUGGGUGCCUACCUGCUGCCGAUGUUAGGGUUUCGAAAUUUUGGGAAAACUUCGACAUUGGUGUUGGGUACCUGUGUGUUCAUUCUGUUUAUGCUCUUGUUCUUCCAACCUUUGUAAAUAAUUAUAACAUUGCUGGCAGAUGGGUUAUCAUUUUCAAAUGGCACUAUGAGUGUGUUUGUGUAAUCAACAUAAUAACUCUGUUCUUUGUGUGAAACAUAUAUUUAUUA
Molecule: RNA transcript, 1331 nt
Organism: Panicum virgatum (switchgrass)
Lineage: Eukaryota; Viridiplantae; Streptophyta; Magnoliopsida; Poales; Poaceae
Exons: 5
Source: RefSeq, a predicted model, not a curated record